GGGACUUUAGCUCAGUUGGUAGAGCACAUCGUUCACAUCGAUGGGGUCGCUGGUUCGAGUCCAGUAAGUCCCACCA
This 76-nucleotide transfer RNA is filed under the name Clostridiales bacterium. RNAcentral's name for it is "tRNA-Val". It matches the Rfam family "tRNA". From Rfam's summary of the family: Transfer RNA (tRNA) molecules are approximately 80 nucleotides in length. RNAcentral also lists the same sequence under 1 other name. The record is from RNAcentral. Lineage: Bacteria; Bacillati; Bacillota; Clostridia; Eubacteriales.